GGGCGCAUAGCUCAGCAAGGUAGAGCGGUGGGCUCUUAACCCAUUGGUCGGGGGUUCAAGUCCCUCUGCGCCCG
RNAcentral lists this transfer RNA (74 nucleotides) under Candidatus Heimdallarchaeota archaeon. Its description in RNAcentral is "tRNA-Lys". It matches the Rfam family "tRNA". Rfam says of the family: Transfer RNA (tRNA) molecules are approximately 80 nucleotides in length. RNAcentral also lists the same sequence under 6 other names. Lineage: Archaea; Promethearchaeati; Candidatus Heimdallarchaeota. The record is from RNAcentral.